RNAcentral lists this unclassified non-coding RNA (2737 nucleotides) under Gigantopelta aegis. RNAcentral's name for it is "uncharacterized LOC121368707, transcript variant X4". The record is from RNAcentral. Lineage: Eukaryota; Metazoa; Mollusca; Gastropoda; Neomphalida; Peltospiridae.
AUUUCGUUGAGAAGCCCCGAGAAACUUGGGCGGAAAGUUCAAAAGUUAGGUGAUGUUUUAUUAGACAAUGGAUCCCUACCUGCCUGCAUCACCACUGGUGGAAACCUUUGAUGAAUUUGAUGAACCUGUCCCAAUGCAUCACAGCUACUGUCAACAGCUUUCCAUGGAUGAAAUAGAGGAACAGUCAGAAACAGCAACACAAAGAGGCCUUAAUGACUUGAUUAAAUACUUGGAACAAAAUCCAGAGGCAUAUGCUAAGAUAAUGCGUAAAAAAAAAGUUGAAGAUUUGGAAAAUGGUGGAAUCUUUUCUUACUUGAAGGUGAAAAUGAUGAGUGUUCUUCAUGGGGACCAGUACCCAGCAUGCCUUGUAACACCUGAAGAAACAUGCAACCAAUUAAAUGAAGUCAAAAGUGGAAUGAUAAGAGCCUUCCAAUAUUCCCAAGAUUCCAAAGGAAGACGGUUUUCUUCUCGGCUUGCCAAAAAGAGAAAAGUCGACGAAAUCCAGACCUGUGAUGAAAAGCAAUCUUCUCGUAGACGCUGUGACAAGUCUAACACUCGAUACGUCCGUUGUCGAGCUGUGUCCUCUCAACAUGCUUCGCCGACUUUGAUUCCUGUCGCAAAAAUAGCACCCAGUGACUCGACGUUGGCUGUCCCAACACCUCCACCACCUCCACCACCUCUUGUUCAGACACCAAGGACAAGGUUACAGCUACAGAGACCACCACUUCACAAAGAAAAUGUUUCUCCUACUGAAAGUAUUUCAGACCAUGAGUUUGUGACACCACCAGAAAGAACCAAGAAGCACCAGAGAACUGUAUCUAAUGGAUCGAUUACUUCCAUGACAUCAAUUACAUCACUCUCGAGCAUCCACUCUGAACUAAUGUCAUCAAACCCACUCAAGAAACUCAAAUGUACAGAUAUUACCAGAUCCCCUGGAGGGACUCCUCUUCGACCGAGAGCAAGCGGCUUCGCUCCGUCCGAGCCUCUCCACAAAGCCCUGAUCAAUGUGAUGAAGAAGAAGUUCCGAAACGUCCGCACUCCUAGUCCACGAUCUGCCAAUCACAGUCGGAACUCGAGUCACAAUAAUUCUUCAAGCUUCAGUCCCGGUUUCUGUCUCUCACCAUAAGGAUGGUGGCAUGCCAUUUGUCAAUGUGAAUUCUCUUUUGCAUUUGCAUAUUAAUCAUUUGCCCGUUUUGUACGUUUUUGUGUUUCUCUUAUUAUUGCUGCUUUUUUUUUUAUCCCACUGUCCCAUUUCUUUUCUUUCCUCUGGAUUCUAUCUUAUUUCUUGCCCAUCUGGAAGCUCCUCCUAUCUUUCAACUUCUUAUCAGUGUCCACCUCCACAGAGGCGGAUCUAGGGAGCCCCCAGGGUCCUGCCCCCCCCCCCCCCCUAAAUUUUGCAAUAGUUAUAAAUUUAUUAUAUAUUAAUUUUCAUUUUUUUUACGAUCCCCCUUCAAAUCUUCCCCAAAGUUCCCAUGACAUUCAACCUCAUGUCACUGGGCCCCUUCCCCAAAUGGAUUUUCUGGAUCCGCCACUGUUCCACAUCUUGGUCCUUGUCUCUCCAACCGUGACAGGUGAUUUUCUCUUGUGACCAUUCAUGGCACACACCUGCCAUUUCCCAUCAGCUUUAGCUGUAGACUUAGUCUGAUCACUUCGGAGAGUUCUCGGUUGUGACUUCUGGCAUUGUUAAGAGGCACUUGUAACCACCUACUAUACUCCCCUACUACCAGCAACUUUAUUAGCGGUAGAGGACGAGGUUGCCAGGUGGGGGGGGGGGGGGGGCAGGGAAGUACACAGAGUUUCAUUACUGAACAUAACGCUUUGCCAUUAGGUUAAAUGUGUCCUUUUAGUUUAUCUGGAGAAUAUCCUCUAUUACUGGAUCCUGAAUCUUUUUGAACUACAGUCCCACUUUUAGUCCCAUACCGGUCCAACUGGAGGGGACUAUAUCAGUGGUUGACAAAUGUUUGAGAAAGUCACUAUAGGCUUUGUAUCUGUCCAUCUGUCUGCAAAUAAAGAUGCUGGACUGUUUUCUUCUCUCUUUUUUUUCCAAUAUGUUUUCAUGCAAUUAGUACAACAGAUUUAGACAUUUAUCACCAGUAAAAAACAUGUUAUGUUGUCACCAAGCAGAAAUAUUGCUUGUCAAAAUAUUGCUUAUUGAUAACAUGGUAAGACAUGUGUGGAAAAGGUACUGUGUAUUUGCACUAAUCAAUAAACUUUUGUGCAGUUGCCUUAACGGAAAGACAAUCUUAGGAUGACCCAACCUCAGAAUUUGACACUACAUUUUGACCUUAUUAUUAAAGAUGGUAAAGAACUCAUUGUGUUAUGACAUUUAUACAGUUUAAAAUUAUAUAAAAUGUGGAUUUAAACAUAUUCUUUAUAUUUUUGAUUUUUUUUAUCUACACAUGUUUUUUUGCGUUCUAAUCAUAUUAAUUUUUUUGUGAACUACAAUAAAAACUGUAUUACUAAAUCAUCAUGUGAACAGUAUAUUGUAUGGUUUGUUAUGAAUAAAAAUGAUUUUAUGUCCUUUGUAUAAGUUACAUAAAUUUACUAUUGUAGUUCAUUCAUUUGUGGAUAAUAUGUAUGUUUUGUAUUAUUUCAUACAUAUUGCUAACUAUAUGGAAUGUGGAUGGAAUAGCAACCGUUAUGUUCUUUUGUUUAUAUGUAUUUGUGUUUCUUUACUUUCUCUUUUUCACAUUAAUCUCAUUUAUUACUCCUGUAAUAAAAAAAAUAUUAUCCACAA